GUGGUGUGACUGCGUACCUUUUGUAUAAUGGGUCAGCGACUUAUAUUCUGUAGCAAGGUUAACCGUAUAGGGGAGCCGAAGGGAAACCGAGUCUUAACUGGGCGUUAAGUUGCAGGGUAUAGACCCGAAACCCGGUGAUCUAGCCAUGGGCAGGUUGAAGGUUGGGUAACACUAACUGGAGGACCGAACCGACUAAUGUUGAAAAAUUAGCGGAUGACUUGUGGCUGGGGGUGAAAGGCCAAUCAAACCGGGAGAUAGCUGGUUCUCCCCGAAAGCUAUUUAGGUAGCGCCUCGUGAACUCAUCUUCGGGGGUAGAGCACUGUUUCGGCUAGGGGGCCAUCCCGGCUUACCAACCCGAUGCAAACUACGAAUACCGAAGAAUGUUAUCACGGGAGACACACGGCGGGUGCUAACGUCCGUCGUGAAGAGGGAAACAACCCAGACCGCCAGCUAAGGUCCCAAAGUCAUGGUUAAGUGGGAAACGAUGUGGGAAGGCACAGACAGCCAGGAUGUUGGCUUAGAAGCAGCCAUCAUUUAAAGAAAGCGUAAUAGCUCACUGGUCGAGUCGGCCUGCGCGGAAGAUGUAACGGGGCUAAACCAUGCACCGAAGCUGCGGCAGCGACGCUUAGGCGUUGUUGGGUAGGGGAGCGUUCUGUAAGCCGUUGAAGGUGUGCUGUGAGGCAUGCUGGAGGUAUCAGAAGUGCGAAUGCUGACAUAAGUAACGAUAAAGCGGGUGAAAAGCCCGCUCGCCGGAAGACCAAGGGUUCCUGUCCAACGUUAAUCGGGGCAGGGUGAGUCGACCCCUAAGGCGAGGCCGAAAGGCGUAGUCGAUGGGAAACAGGUUAAUAUUCCUGUACUUGGUGUUACUGCGAAGGGGGGACGGAGAAGGCUAUGUUAGCCGGGCGACGGUUGUCCCGGUUUAAGCAUGUAGGCGGAGGUUCCAGGUAAAUCCGGUACCUUUUAACGCUGAGGUGUGAUGACGAGGCACUACGGUGCUGAAGUAACAAAUGCCCUGCUUCCAGGAAAAGCCUCUAAGCAUCAGGUAACAUCAAAUCGUACCCCAAACCGACACAGGUGGUCAGGUAGAGAAUACCAAGGCGCUUGAGAGAACUCGGGUGAAGGAACUAGGCAAAAUGGUGCCGUAACUUCGGGAGAAGGCACGCUGAUAUGUAGGUGAAGCCCCUGCGGGUGGAGCUGAAAUCAGUCGAAGAUACCAGCUGGCUGCAACUGUUUAUUAAAAACACAGCACUGUGCAAACACGAAAGUGGACGUAUACGGUGUGACGCCUGCCCGGUGCCGGAAGGUUAAUUGAUGGGGUUAGCGGCAACGCGAAGCUCUUGAUCGAAGCCCCGGUAAACGGCGGCCGUAACUAUAACGGUCCUAAGGUAGCGAAAUUCCUUGUCGGGUAAGUUCCGACCUGCACGAAUGGCGUAAUGAUGGCCAGGCUGUCUCCACCCGAGACUCAGUGAAAUUGAACUCGCUGUGAAGAUGCAGUGUACCCGCGGCAAGACGGAAAGACCCCGUGAACCUUUACUAUAGCUUGACACUGAACACUGGUCCUUGAUGUGUAGGAUAGGUGGGAGGCUUUGAAGCGUGGACGCCAGUCUGCGUGGAGCC
RNAcentral lists this ribosomal RNA (1617 nucleotides) under Enterobacter asburiae. RNAcentral describes it as "partial 23S ribosomal RNA". It matches the Rfam family "Bacterial large subunit ribosomal RNA", at positions 588 to 2187 of the family's 2925-position model. The record is from RNAcentral. Lineage: Bacteria; Pseudomonadati; Pseudomonadota; Gammaproteobacteria; Enterobacterales; Enterobacteriaceae.